GAUCCUGGCUCAGGAUGAACGCUAGCUACAGGCUUAACACAUGCAAGUCGAGGGGAAACGACAUCGAAAGCUUGCUUUUGGUGGGCGUCGACCGGCGCACGGGUGAGUAACGCGUAUCCAACCUGCCCACCACUUGGGGAUAACCCUGCGAAAGUAAGACUAAUACCCAAUGACGUCUCUAGAAGACAUCUGAAAGAGAUUAAAGAUUUAUCGGUGAUGGAUGGGGAUGCGUCUGAUUAGCUUGUUGGCGGGGUAACGGCCCACCAAGGCGACGAUCAGUAGGGGUUCUGAGAGGAAGGUCCCCCACAUUGGAACUGAGACACGGUCCAAACUCCUACGGGAGGCAGCAGUGAGGAAUAUUGGUCAAUGGACGAGAGUCUGAACCAGCCAAGUAGCGUGCAGGAUGACGGCCCUAUGGGUUGUAAACUGCUUUUAUAAGGGAAUAAAGUGAGCCUCGUGAGGCUUUUUGCAUGUACCUUAUGAAUAAGGACCGGCUAAUUCCGUG
RNAcentral lists this ribosomal RNA (505 nucleotides) under uncultured bacterium. Its description in RNAcentral is "bacterial SSU rRNA". It matches the Rfam family "Bacterial small subunit ribosomal RNA", at positions 15 to 507 of the family's 1533-position model. The record is from RNAcentral.